RNAcentral lists this transfer RNA (86 nucleotides) under Candidatus Wukongarchaeota archaeon. RNAcentral describes it as "tRNA-Leu". It matches the Rfam family "tRNA". Rfam says of the family: Transfer RNA (tRNA) molecules are approximately 80 nucleotides in length. The record is from RNAcentral. RNAcentral also lists the same sequence under 1 other name. Lineage: Archaea; Promethearchaeati; Candidatus Wukongarchaeota.
GCAGGGGUUGCCAAGUCUGGUCAAAGGCGCAGGACUCAGAAUCCUGUCCGUUAGUCGGUUCCUGGGUUCAAAUCCCAGCCCCUGCA